Molecule: ribosomal RNA, 497 nt
Filed under: uncultured bacterium
Lineage: Bacteria
Description: partial 16S ribosomal RNA
Rfam family: Bacterial small subunit ribosomal RNA
Source: RNAcentral
GACGAACGCUGGCGGCGUGCCUAAUACAUGCAAGUAGAACGCUGAAGAGAGGAGCUUGCUCUUCUUGGAUGAGUUGCGAACGGGUGAGUAACGCGUAGGUAACCUGCCUUGUAGCGGGGGAUAACUAUUGGAAACGAUAGCUAAUACCGCAUAACAAUGGAUGACACAUGUCAUUUAUUUGAAAGGGGCAAUUGCUCCACUACAAGAUGGACCCGCGUUGUAUUAGCUAGUAGGUGAGGUAAUGGCUCACCUAGGCGACGAUACAUAGCCGACCUGAGAGGGUGAUCGGCCACACUGGGACUGAGACACGGCCCAGACUCCUACGGGAGGCAGCAGUAGGGAAUCUUCGGCAAUGGGGGCAACCCUGACCGAGCAACGCCGCGUGAGUGAAGAAGGUUUUCGGAUCGUAAAGCUCUGUUGUAAGUCAAGAACGGGUGUGAGAGUGGAAAGUUCACACUGCGACGGUAGCUUACCAGAAAGGGACGGCUAACUACGUG